AACGAACGCUGGCGGCAUGCCUAACACAUGCAAGUCGAACGAGACCUUCGGGCCUAGUGGCGCACGGGUGCGUAACGCGUGGGAAUCUGCCCUUAGGUUCGGAAUAACUUCGGGAAACUGAAGCUAAUACCGGAUGAUGACGUAAGUCCAAAGAUUUAUCGCCUAAGGAUGAGCCCGCGUUGGAUUAGCUAGUUGGUGAGGUAAAGGCUCACCAAGGCGACGAUCCAUAGCUGGUCUGAGAGGAUGAUCAGCCACACUGGGACUGAGACACGGCCCAGACUCCUACGGGAGGCAGCAGUGGGGAAUAUUGGACAAUGGGCGAAAGCCUGAUCCAGCAAUGCCGCGUGAGUGAUGAAGGCCUUAGGGUUGUAAAGCUCUUUACCCGGGAUGAUAAUGACAGUACCGGGAGAAUAAGCUCCGGGCUAACUCCGUGCCAGCAGCGCGGUAAUUGACUACUG
Molecule: ribosomal RNA, 458 nt
Filed under: uncultured bacterium
Lineage: Bacteria
Description: bacterial SSU rRNA
Rfam family: Bacterial small subunit ribosomal RNA
Source: RNAcentral